RNAcentral lists this ribosomal RNA (470 nucleotides) under Mycolicibacterium iranicum. RNAcentral's name for it is "bacterial SSU rRNA". It matches the Rfam family "Bacterial small subunit ribosomal RNA", at positions 56 to 555 of the family's 1533-position model. The record is from RNAcentral. Lineage: Bacteria; Bacillati; Actinomycetota; Actinomycetes; Mycobacteriales; Mycobacteriaceae.
UGCAGUCGACGGACCUUCGGGUUAGUGGCGAACGGGUGAGUAACACGUGGGUGAUCUGCCCUGCACUUUGGGAUAAGCCUGGGAAACUGGGUCUAAUACCGGAUAGGACUACGCACUGCAUGGUGUGUGGUGGAAAGCUUUUGCGGUGUGGGAUGGGCCCGCGGCCUAUCAACUUGUUGGUGGGGUGAUGGCCUACCAAGGCGACGACGGGUAGCCGGCCUGAGAGGGUGACCGGCCACACUGGGACUGAGAUACGGCCCAGACUCCUACGGGAGGCAGCAGUGGGGAAUAUUGCACAAUGGGCGCAAGCCUGAUGCAGCGACGCCGCGUGAGGGAUGACGGCCUUCGGGUUGUAAACCUCUUUCGCCAGGGACGAAGCGCAAGUGACGGUACCUGGAGAAGAAGGACCGGCCAACUACGUGCCAGCAGCCGCGGUAAUACGUAGGGUCCGAGCGUUGUCCGGAAUUACU